RNAcentral lists this ribosomal RNA (785 nucleotides) under uncultured archaeon. RNAcentral describes it as "bacterial SSU rRNA". It matches the Rfam family "Archaeal small subunit ribosomal RNA", at positions 474 to 1258 of the family's 1478-position model. The record is from RNAcentral.
CACGUAAUCCACAAGUGGUAUCCACUCAUAUUGGGCCUAAAACGUCUGUAGCCGGUUUUACAAGUUUUUGGUGAAAUCAGUUCGCUUAACGGAUUGGCUUGCCAAAAAUACUGUUUUACUCGAGGUCGGAAGACGCCAAGGGAAUUUUCGGGGUAACGGUGAAAUGUUAUGAUCCCGAAAGGACCACCGGUAGCGAAGGCGCUUGGCGAGAACGAGCCUGACGGUGAGAGACGAAAGCUGGGGGAGCGACCAGGAUUAGAUACCCUGUUAGUCCCAGCCGUAAACGAUGUGGACUUCGUGUCUCGGUACUGUAAAGUGCCGAGGUGCGGAAGCGAAGGCUUUAAGUCUACUGCCUGGGGAGUAAGGUCGCAAGACUGAAACUUAAUGGAAUUGGCGGGGGCGCACUACAAGGGGUGGAUGCUGCGGUUCAAUUGGACUCAACCCCAGAAAUCUCACCAGGGCCGACAGCAGAAUGAUGGUCAGUCUGAAGGGCUUACCUGACACGCUGAGAGGUAUUGUAUGGUCAUCGUCAGCUCGUAUUGUGAAACGUCCUGUUAACUCAGGUAACGAGCGAGACCCACGCCUUUAGUUGCUAUUUACCUAUUUUUUAGGUAAAGCACUCUAAAGGGGACUGCCAAGGUAACUUGGANGAAGGAGUGGGCCACGGUAGAUCUGUAUGGUCCGAAUGCCCUUGGGCUACACNCGGCAUACAAUGGCUAAGACAAUGGGUGUCAAACCCGAAAGGGUAAGGUAAUCCCCUAAACUUAGUCUCAGUUCGGAUCGAG